CCAGAGAACUUAGCAGAGAUGCUUUGGUGCCUUCGGGAACUCUGAGACAGGUGCUGCAUGGCUGUCGUCAGCUCGUGUUGUGAAAUGUUGGGUUAAGUCCCGCAACGAGCGCAACCCUUAUCCUUUGUUGCCAGCGGUCCGGCCGGGAACUCAAAGGAGACUGCCAGUGAUAAACUGGAGGAAGGUGGGGAUGACGUCAAGUCAUCAUGGCCCUUACGAGUAGGGCUACACACGUGCUACAAUGGCGCAUACAAAGAGAAGCGACCUCGCGAGAGCAAGCGGAACCUCAUAAAGUGCGUCGUAGUCCGGAUUGGAGUCUGCAACUCGACUCCAUGAAGUCGGAAUCGCUAGUAAUCGUAGAUCAGAAUGCUACGGUGAAUACGUUCCCGGGCCUUGUACACACCGCCCGUCACACCAUGGGAGUGGGUUGCAAAAGAAGUAGGUAGCUUAACCUUCGGGAGGGCGCUUACCACUUUGUGAUUCAUGACUGGGGUGAAGUCGUAACAAGGUAAGCGUACGUGU
This 522-nucleotide ribosomal RNA is filed under the name uncultured bacterium. RNAcentral describes it as "bacterial SSU rRNA". It matches the Rfam family "Bacterial small subunit ribosomal RNA", at positions 988 to 1509 of the family's 1533-position model. The record is from RNAcentral.